Molecule: RNase MRP RNA, 268 nt
Filed under: Olea europaea subsp. europaea
Lineage: Eukaryota; Viridiplantae; Streptophyta; Magnoliopsida; Lamiales; Oleaceae
Description: RNase MRP
Rfam family: RNase MRP
About the family: RNase MRP is an enzymatically active ribonucleoprotein with two distinct roles in eukaryotes. In mitochondria it plays a direct role in the initiation of mitochondrial DNA replication.
Source: Rfam by way of RNAcentral
CACAUCCACGAGAUGAAGUUAAUGGGUCAUGGUACCAAGUUCUUGCUUGGCUCCGACCCAGGAAAGUCCCCGAGCCACUAACUGCCGAGAUGCAGACUCAAGAAUGAGUAACCUUGAGCACGGUGGCUCUUGCCCUUGUGCAAGGGCUGAGACACGUGUGGAGCCCUAAAGCCACCCUGCUGAAGUGUCUUGGCUGACUAUCCACAGUUAUUCACUUGGUCCAAUCCCAGGAUGGACUAACCGAACGGGGCUUACACUCUCGUGAUGU